GACGAACGCUGGCGGCGUGCUUAACACAUGCAAGUCGAACGGAAAGGCCCUGCUUUUGUGGGGUGCUCGAGUGGCGAACGGGUGAGUAACACGUGAGUAACCUGCCCUUGAUUUUGGGAUAACUUCAGGAAACUGGGGCUAAUACCGGAUAGGAGCUCUUGCUGCAUGGUGGGGGUUGGAAUGUUUCGGUGGUUGGGGAUGGACUCGCGGCUUAUCAGUUUGUUGGUGGGGUAGCGGCUUACCAAGGCUUUGACGGGCAGCCGGCCUGAGGGGGUGACCGGCCACUUGGGGACUGGGGUACGGCCCGGACUCCUACGGGAGGCAGCGGUGGGGAAUUUUGCACAAGGGGCGGAAGCCGGAUGCACCAACGCCGGUUGCGGGAUAACGGCCUUCGGGUUUUAAACCGCUUUCGCCGGUGACGAAGCGUGAGUGACGGUAAUGAGUAAAGAAGCACCGGCUAACUACGUG
This 468-nucleotide ribosomal RNA is filed under the name uncultured bacterium. RNAcentral's name for it is "partial 16S ribosomal RNA". It matches the Rfam family "Bacterial small subunit ribosomal RNA", at positions 28 to 507 of the family's 1533-position model. The record is from RNAcentral.